GACGGAGGGUGCGAGCGUUGUUCGGAAUUACUGGGCGUAAAGCGCGCGCAGGUGGGUGCGCAAGUCGGAGGUGAAAGCGCAGGGCUCAACCCUGCGACGCCCUUCGAGACUGCAUGUCUAGGGACCGGUAGAGGUGAGUGGAAUUCCCGGUGUAGCGGUGGAAUGCGUAGAUAUCGGGAAGAACACCGGAGGCGAAGGCGGCUCACUGGGCCGGACCCGACACUGAGGCGCGAAAGCGUGGGGAGCAAACAGG
Molecule: unclassified non-coding RNA, 253 nt
Filed under: uncultured Gemmatimonadota bacterium
Lineage: Bacteria; Pseudomonadati; Gemmatimonadota
Description: uncultured Gemmatimonadetes bacterium contains 16S-23S intergenic spacer region
Rfam family: Bacterial small subunit ribosomal RNA
Source: RNAcentral